AUUGAACGCUGGCGGCAUGCCUUACACAUGCAAGUCGAACGGCAGCACGGGUGCUUGCACCUGGUGGCGAGUGGCGAACGGGUGAGUAAUAUAUCGGAACGUACCUUAUUGUGGGGGAUAACGCAGCGAAAGCUGUGCUAAUACCGCAUAAUCCCUAAGGGGGAAAGCGGGGGACCGUAAGGCCUCGCGCAAUUAGAGCGGCCGAUACCUGAUUAGCUAGUUGGUGAGGUAAAGGCUCACCAAGGCAACGAUCAGUAGCUGGUCUGAGAGGACGAUCAGCCACACUGGGACUGAGACACGGCCCAGACUCCUACGGGAGGCAGCAGUAGGGAAUUUUGGACAAUGGGGGCAACCCUGAUCCAGCAAUGCCGCGUGAGUGAAGAAGGCCUUCGGGUUGUAAAGCUCUUUUGUCAGGGAAGAAACAGCUGCUCUAACACAGUAUGCGAAUGACGGUACCUGAAGAAUAAGCACCGGCUAACUACGUGCCAGCCGCCGCCGUAA
RNAcentral lists this ribosomal RNA (501 nucleotides) under uncultured bacterium. RNAcentral describes it as "partial 16S ribosomal RNA". It matches the Rfam family "Bacterial small subunit ribosomal RNA", at positions 30 to 523 of the family's 1533-position model. The record is from RNAcentral.